Molecule: ribosomal RNA, 468 nt
Filed under: uncultured bacterium
Lineage: Bacteria
Description: partial 16S ribosomal RNA
Rfam family: Bacterial small subunit ribosomal RNA
Source: RNAcentral
GACGAACGCUGGCGGCAGGCUUAACACAUGCAAGUAGAAGGGAAAGGACCUGCUAUUGUUGGUUUCUCGAGUGGCGAACGGGUGAGUAACAGGUGAAUAACCUGCCCUUCACCUUAGGACAACUUCAUGAAACUGGGGCUAUUACCCUAAAGGAGCUCCUGCUGCCACGUGGGCGUCGGAAAGGUUCGGCGGUUGGUGAUGGACUCGCGGCUUAUCAGCCUGUUGGUGGGGUAGGCGCUUACCAAGGCUUCGAAGGGUAGCGGGCCUGAGAGGGGGACCGGCCACCUUGGGACUGAGAUACGGCCCGGAGUCGUGCGGGAGGCAGCAGUGGGGAAUAUUGCACAAUGGGCGGAAGCCUGAUGCAGGAACGCCGCGUGCGGGAUGGUGGCCUUCGGUUUUUAGGGCGUUUUCGCCUGUGACGAAGCGUGAGUGAAGGUAAUGGAUAAAGAAGCACCGGCUAACUACGUG